RNAcentral lists this ribosomal RNA (422 nucleotides) under Fusobacteriota bacterium. RNAcentral describes it as "Fusobacteria bacterium partial 16S ribosomal RNA". It matches the Rfam family "Bacterial small subunit ribosomal RNA", at positions 355 to 776 of the family's 1533-position model. Lineage: Bacteria; Fusobacteriati; Fusobacteriota. The record is from RNAcentral.
UGGGGGAUUUUGCACAAUGGGCGCAAGCCUGAUGCAGCGACGCCGCGUGAGGGAUGAAGGCCUUCGGGUUGUAAACCUCUUUCGCUGGGUUGAAAGGCCAUGCUUUGGGUGUGGUUGAUUUGAACUGGUAAAGAAGUACCGGCUAACUACGUGCCAGCAGCCGCGGUAAUACGUAGGGUACUAGCGUUGUCCGGAUUUAUUGGGCGUAAAGGGCUUGUAGGUGGUUUGUCGCGUCUGUCGUGAAAUCCUGUGGCUUAACCAUGGGCUUGCGGUGGGUACGGGCAGGCUUGAGUGCGGUAGGGGAGACUGGAAUUCCUGGUGUAGCGAUGGAAUGCGCAGAUAUCAGGAGGAACACCGGUGGCGAAGGCGGGUCUCUGGGCCGUUACUGACACUGAGGAGCGAAAGCGUGGGGAGCGAACAGG